Long non-coding RNA from Prinia subflava (tawny-flanked prinia), 4962 nucleotides. RefSeq lists it as uncharacterized. The transcript has 5 exons. NCBI's taxonomy places the organism in Eukaryota, Metazoa, Chordata, Aves, Passeriformes, Cisticolidae. The record is from RefSeq and is a predicted model, not a curated record.
CGGAAUGGCAGGGCGGGGGGGGGAUCCCGGAGUUAAUCGGUGGGAAAAACCUUCCGAGAUUAACGAGUCCAGCCGAUGACCGAGCUGCACCAUGGCAGCUGGACCGUGGCAGUUAUGCCAUUGGCCUUUUAAGAGAAACAUCUGCCUCACUGCUCCAGUAGCAGGUUCAUGACAGUGCUGUCCAUACCCUCAGCCACGCCGACCACUCAGAUCAUCUUGCACUGGAGCACUGCUGUUUGCACUGGUGGGAUGCCAGGGAUUGGAGGAGUGCAUGCUCCACCUAGCUCUGAAUAACUACAGUUCCUGGAAAACCUGGAGAAGUCUCAGUGCCUAUAGAAAUCAGACCAGAUGUGCUCCCCUGGGAGCAGGGGGAGCCAGAUGCUGCUAACAGGUAACAUGACAAGCAACAGGUACUGCUGCAUCUUCCUGGUCCUACCACUACCCUCAAAGGUACCAAGUACCAUCCAUCAGGAUCUGAAUGUUCCUGUGCUGGACAGCUGAGAAGAGAUGGCAGCGUAAGCCAGAGUGAAUGUUGCCACAGCUGACGUGCCAUCUGUACAGAGCAGACUGAUAGCCCUCUCCCUUGCCCCGUGCCCUCUGCAGAGGCAAGGGCUGACAAGUGGCUGUGACAGACGUGCAGAAGGACAAGUUGAACGUCACAGGCAGCACCAAGAAAAUCCAUCUGAAACCUUGCUCCAUAUAGGAAAGUGCAGUUCCAGCUGUUCAGCCUUCGGAGUAAGCUGGCUCUGAAGCUGCUGCUACCCUGGCUGUAAUGCUAGGCAAGCACAGCCCCAUCAGAGCUGGUGAAUAGGGGGAAACCAGCAGGGGUAGCAGCAUCACGCUGGUACAAGGAAUCUCGUGAUGCUAUUGCUCCCCAUGAUUAUGCUGUUAACAGCCAAGCAGGGUGGAGUUUAAUGAGCAAAGGUAGAUGAGAAAAGGAAAACAACUGAGACAAAUGAUGUUUAAAUGUGAUGGCUCAUUAAACAAAAGCUCUCUGCUAUGUUUCUUUCCUCGGUAGCAACAAAAGGGACAAUGGCCAUAAGUAAAAGGCAACCCACUGACAACAGGAAGGAUUUAUAGAAAGUAUCACAAUUUAGCUGCUCCAGCACGAAUGAGCAGAGAUAUUUGGCAUCAAGUAACUCAAGUGAAGGGUUUUGCAAAGUCUUUGUAUGAGACAGAGUGCUCUUUUCUGCCCAAACCCUAGGAGCUUCUCGCUAUUUGAAUAUCAAGGACAAGUCCUGCUUUUCUUCAUAUGUGAAUUCCUGUUGUCUUCAGCAGAUGUUUUGCAGUGCAGAAGUCAGUGCCGUGUGGGCUGGGGACCUCAUAUUAAUGUGUCAACCAUCUUGUCUGGCCUGGCUUAACAAUGCCUGCCUGUGGGGCUUUGAUCCUGACCGGAUACAGUAGCUUUUACUGAACUGUAAGCCUUCCUGGAUUUUGAGAAGUUAAACAAAUCAAUUCUUCAAAAGACAGCAACAGCUUCACUAGUGUCCUUCCUGACAGGUGUAAAACCAUUUCCAAAAGCAUCUGUGUGGCAGAGGCUCCACACCCCCCAACCUGAGCAACUAUUCCAGUGCUUCAUUGUCAUUAUCCACCUUGUCAGUAUGUUGCCCUCUCCAGGCAGGAUAUGGAGGACAGACUAUUUCCUCCUUCUUUGCCAAAGCCUUACUGUAGAUUUUGUAGAUUACCUUUCAGCUUUCCAACAACAUGUGAGAAAAGAUCUCCAUAAUGUUCAUCUGUCUUACAAGGCAAAUGGCUACUCUGCAAUUGUAGAAAUUUGUAGAAAUAGAACUGUGUGUGAUUUUCUGCCUGAAGAAAAAGAUGUAGUCCAUCUUAUUGAAGUUCUUAUUGUGUUAUUUAUGAGACCAGUGAAGGCAAUAGUCUUCAGGCUAUGAAAUACCUGAUCCCCCAGGAGCUCCCACCAUUAAGCUCUUGAGCUGAGAAGUUGGCCCUGCAAUCCACCAAGAGUGGGGAUGGGUCCCUGGACUUCUUUGCCAGUUCAAAAUGUGCCAGGAAAGAGAAAGACUGAGUAUGCAAUCACUUCUGAUGCUAGGAUAUCUUGGAUAGCAAGAGAAUGAUAUCUUUACUGCUCUUUUUUUUUUUGUUUUCUGCAUGGGCAACUCAGCCUAAUCAGAGAUUCCAUUGUCCAGUACUGGAAAAUUUAGUCAUUUGGAUGCUGUAGAAAGUAUGCUGUUCUCUAGGUCUCUCUGUAACAAAGAACAACAACUUUGGAGCAGAUGCAGAGAGAUGAGAUUUAAACCUCCUAUUCACUGGUCUUUUUGAAGGUCACGUGCCAAGGAACUAACACAGAUUCUAGUAUUUCUGUUGAAACGGUAGUGCACAACAGCAGGGGUUUUGUUGGUUGUGUUCUGCACAUGACUGCACUGACAUCGUAAACCACAGUAAAACAGAUAACUUCGUUCUGUCUGAUGUAACAGAAGAUCUUCUGUCUCCCAAAUGUCAUUUGAUCCAAGAGAGAUUGAACUGAUUUGAGGGCAGCUUUCAUCAACACCCUCUCUGUUCCAAGUGAGGAGCUUGCACCAUUGGAACUACCUAUUCACAAAUCUCGCGGGAAGGCAGCCAGCAAAAUGCCAUGUCCACACAGAAAGUGCUUAUUGGUUGGAUGGCAGCAUUGUGGACAGGAAAAAUGCUGCUCAGACAAUUUAUCUGCAGUGAGGAGUUUAAACAUUCAAUGCUCACUUCUACACCGCCGCAUCUCCUACUUAGUGGAUGUCAAAAUGUUGCAGUUGAGCAACAUUUCAUUCUGUGCAUAGAAAUCAAUGGUCUGAUUGAUUUGCCUCAGACUGGUUUUUGUUCAAAAUUGCUGAAGGCCCAUUACCUGGAUGACACGAGUCAGAGAAAUUAAAGUCUCACUGAUUAUGAUGUUAUGAAGCAAUCUGAGUCUGCAAAAGAAUAACCUACAUAUUUGAUAUCAGGGCAUGUUGUGUUUGCAGCUGACACUUUGAAGACAGAUACCUAAUGUUAGAGCAAGCUACAAGAAAAACAGAACACAACAAUAAGGCAAGGCCAGCUGAAUAUGCAGUGACUAAAGGGGGUUUCACCUUAGAAUCUGGCAAUGAGUGGAUUUCCAAAAUUUGUUAUUGACAGCAAGAUUUACCUCAAACUGCAUUGCUUAAAUGUGGGUAUGUGAAAAGCUCUGACACUGGAUCAGCAGAGAUCCAGUCAAUGCAGGUGGUGCACUGGAGAGUUGUUGCUCUUGUUAGACACAGUGGACACAGCUGAUGGGUUGAAUGGCUCUCCAGAGUCUGCAGCCUGCAUUGACUCCUUUUCUGUUGGCUGUAAGCAGACAUUUGACCCCAAAUUCACAUGCAGGUUCCCACAGUCCAGACAGCCACAUCUCACACUGGCUGUAAGUACACACAGCUCUCACUCCUGAGCUCCAAACCUCACCUUGGUGUGCACCAUGUCAGUCAAUAACAAAAGCAAGUAGCUGGAAAAGCUGGUUGCCAAAGAAUCAUCUCCAAUUCCUUGGGAAUAAUAUGAGUUUAGUGUUUAAGACCAGUCCUUCCACCUUAUUUCACACCACAAGGAUGCAGAAAAUAUUUGGGAACUGAAUCUUGAGUUGGAAUAUUUUCUGAAGGGUAUUUUCACAAAACAUUCAAUCCCAGAAGUCAAGAAUGUAUAAAUGUAUAUAUAAAUGUCUUGCUCUGAAACCUUUUGCCCACCCUGUCUAUCUUAUAAAUCACUUUUUCUCCUGACUUUGCUCUAAUGGAUUUCCUAGAGUUUUCUUAGUUCUUUCCAGGUGGCCUCUCUCCAGUUUCACAUCUGCUGAUGGCCACAUUUUCUUCCUGUGUCUAUUGAAGGCAAUGACCACUAUAUCUACUCCAAAACAGCUCCCCGUGGACAGAUCCAGGGAGCUUCUCAUGACAAAGAGCAAUUUGAUGUUCAUACAUAUUAUGCUGGCGUGUAAACCCACCAAGGAUGACCAGAAGAAAUGGGACCUGACUGUCUUCAUAAAUUUUCUCAAGCGCCUGGUGGGUAGCAGAACCUGCUCUUGCCAAUGACCUCUGAGAUUGCAGUAUAAAAUUAACCUAAAGCAUCUAAAAAGCAACUGGAGGGGAAGGAUGUAUUUUAUGUCAAUUCAGUCAAAAAGUCCUCAGAAUUAGUUGCCUGAAGUGUUUGGGAAAGCUGACAAAGUAUAAUAGCACUGAGACUAUUUUCUUGCUUCUCAGCAAAGACAACAUUAAUCGUCUGGGCUUAAUAUAGCCUUCCACAUGCCAACUGGGUGCAAAAUUAUGGCUGGUAUUAGAAAACCACUUACCAUGUGGACAGGCUUAAAGUGCAAUAAGCUGUGGGGUGUGGAUGCAGAUGGAGUAUGCCUAAGGACAAACAGUGACCUUGAGAAUUGUAUGCCAUGUCUCUGGAGAUAUAGUGCUUCUUCAUUAUGAACCCUGACAGACAUAGAGCUCUUCAUCAGUGGUGGGGCAAGGAAGGACUUAGAUUUGGAGCCAGGCUUGAAUUUUGCAGUCCAGGUAUAUCUAGAGAUGUCGAGCAUGAGAGAUUUACUGAAAUGGGUUGUAUACACACUUAUAAUAUCUGUAUUCAUAAUGUAAAGGCCGAUAUACGUCAAGAGUGUGUCAGAGAGAGAAUCCACAGCUUUGGAUGUUCACAAGAACAGCAUGUAUAGAAAAAAACAAUCCUUUUCUGUACCCACCUUGGCUCGAUUGGUGUAUCUUCUGCCAAAUAGUUAUCCUUAUUUUGAUAGAAAAGGAGCAGAAAUAUAGCUGAGUAUUUCUGCUGAGACUUUGUCUUAGCACUUGAAGAAUCCAGAGUAUGUCAAAUAAGGUCAAACCCUUUAACACCCUGCAUUGUAACAUCUGUACAACACAGCUUAGAGAUUGUUGUUCUGGUAUUACUACCUAGUAAAGUGGGCUCAAUGGUGCAGUGCUUAUAUAACACUUUUUUCUGUGCAUAAAUUGUGUCUCAGUCCUGUUUUUCUGCCAG